Molecule: ribosomal RNA, 195 nt
Filed under: Triticum aestivum (bread wheat)
Lineage: Eukaryota; Viridiplantae; Streptophyta; Magnoliopsida; Poales; Poaceae
Description: partial small subunit ribosomal RNA
Source: RNAcentral
AUGGUGACGUCAGGUGUCCAGCCAAUGGGAAGCUUUUGCAGCGCAGUAAGACCAUCCAUAACGCUGAACCCGGUCCAUACACCACACCAGUCUCCGCCGACCCCUUCAGCGACCGGCCGGAGCUCUCCUUCGUCGAGCUGCCGAGGGGCAGCCUGCUCCCUGCAGGCGCUCAGGAGGACCAAGCGCUCGGCCUAG